RNAcentral lists this ribosomal RNA (253 nucleotides) under uncultured bacterium. Its description in RNAcentral is "partial 16S ribosomal RNA". It matches the Rfam family "Bacterial small subunit ribosomal RNA", at positions 524 to 776 of the family's 1533-position model. The record is from RNAcentral.
GACAGAGGUCUCAAGCGUUGUUCGGAUUCAUUGGGCGUAAAGGGCGCGUAGGCUGCGGGGCAAGUCGGGUGUGAAAUCUCAGAGCUCAACUCUGAAACUGCACUCGAUACUGCUUUGCUCGAGGACUGGAGAGGAGAUUGGAAUUCACGGUGUAGCAGUGAAAUGCGUAGAUAUCGUGAGGAAGACCAGUGGCGAAGGCGGAUCUCUGGACAGUUCCUGACGCUGAGGCGCGAAGGCCAGGGGAGCAAACGGG